Molecule: ribosomal RNA, 445 nt
Filed under: uncultured bacterium
Lineage: Bacteria
Description: bacterial SSU rRNA
Rfam family: Bacterial small subunit ribosomal RNA
Source: RNAcentral
CCAGACUCCUACGGGAGGCAGCAGUGGGGAAUAUUGCACAAUGGGGGGAACCCUGAUGCAGCGACGCCGCGUGAGUGAAGAAGUAUUUCGGUAUGUAAAGCUCUAUCAGCAGGGAAGAAAAUGACGGUACCUGACUAAGAAGCCCCGGCUAACUACGUGCCAGCAGCCGCGGUAAUACGUAGGGGGCAAGCGUUAUCCGGAUUUACUGGGUGUAAAGGGAGCGUAGACGGCAGAGCAAGUCUGAAGUGAAAGCCCGCGGCCCAACUGCGGGACUGCUUUGGAAACUGCCCGGCUAGAGUACGGGAGGGGCAGGCGGAAUUCCUGGUGUAGCGGUGAAAUGCGUAGAUAUCAGGAGGAACACCGGCGGCGAAGGCGGCCUACUGGACGGUGACUGACGCUGAGGCUCGAAAGCGUGGGGAGCAAACAGGAUUAGAUACCCUCGUAA